UGGCAACACAAUUUCAAUAAUGAAUUUCGGCUUCGAUCUGUGCAGCGAGUUACAUCGCGGACAAUGCAUUCCUGAUAAGUUAUUACCUCUCGUCGUUUGGUCACGCAAGAUGAGACGGAAGAGCAGGUGUUGACCUGCAAUCAAGACUUGAAAGCGACGUUUGGAGGCCAAUGCAAGAGAGGCAUUUGGGAGCCAGUGCAAGAGAGGCGAUUCACCCCUCCAUCCUCCUGUUGCUCCUCUGACGCGACUUGCCCGCCAAGUUGUACUAGCUGUCAAGGCCCGUGGAACAAUGACGCGUUUGCAUGUUACUUCUUACCGAUGCGUUGUUUACUGUGCACGGACCCAAGCAGUUAAUUAUGAUAGGAUGGUGCGAUUGUGUGCUUUUCGUGACGUCACUGCGAUGACGGAUUUUCGUUUUGCUUUGAUCCCCAACAGAAUGCGGGCAAAAGUAGCCCACUUGGUUUGGGAACUACACUUGCCUCUGCAUUUGAACUGUUAACGCCCCUAAAUUGCUAGAGACGUCACUGGAAGAGCGGUAGUCCGCUUUAUUGCUGACUGCUGUUCGCUGUAUGUGAUACGUUUGCCUUUAUUUGGUGCUCUGAGUUUGCACUGUGACAUGUAAUUCUGGAACUUGUUAGUUCAGGCUCGCGUCAAUUGCUUGUUGGCUAGCAUCAUUUUCGUUAUUAAUCUACCUAUUUUGCAGGCUGAAAUUCUUGCCCAUGCCUCAUUAACAGUGGCAUUGAUUUCACAGUGCACUUCACACCUUGCUUGGGAGUAUUUUAAGUAUUCACAUAGUGUCUAUGAUACAAGUAUUUGUUGUUACACGUGAGUGCUGUUGAUGGCCAAUUCAGUGCUUUUACUUAAGUGCUUUUGCACCAUUGGAAUGCAUUGUUUUCUAGUAGUUAUAAAACAUUAAAACUUCAGGAAAACUUAAAUAUUUUAUUUGCUGGUGAAUACUAGGGUAAUGUAUUCAAAGAGCUAGUCUGAUCUUGAAUUAGUGUAGGUGAGAUAUGGCAAUGCCCUCAUUUAUGCUUUUUGGGGUGUCAUUUUGUAUGCAUGCAAGUGGUACUCCUAUGUGCACCGAUUGUUUCUUUGUAACAGAUUAUUCGGUAUGUGGCUCUCUAGGGCAUUGUACACAAGGCAGGGAUCCAUUACCACUGACUGUUUCCUGUGUGUGUUUUUGCUUCAAUUAUCCAGUUACCCUUCUCCCUUGUUUGCCUUGAAGCAAUUUUAUUCUUAUUAAAGGCUAAGCAUCGUACUGUUCAUUGCACUCUUGAAAGAUCGUGAGUGCUGUUUAGAAAUGUUGAAACUCUUGGUUGUGUUCAUAGGCAGUGUGCUUAAGUAUGUACUAAUGUCCAAAUAGAUAUGGCU
This is a long non-coding RNA of Dermacentor albipictus, 1371 nucleotides long. RefSeq lists it as uncharacterized. NCBI's taxonomy places the organism in Eukaryota, Metazoa, Arthropoda, Arachnida, Ixodida, Ixodidae. The record is from RefSeq and is a predicted model, not a curated record.